RNAcentral lists this unclassified non-coding RNA (230 nucleotides) under Hevea brasiliensis (rubber tree). Lineage: Eukaryota; Viridiplantae; Streptophyta; Magnoliopsida; Malpighiales; Euphorbiaceae. The record is from RNAcentral.
AAAAGGGGAUGGGAUUGAUGAGUAUUUGUGAAGAUAAUGUGAGUACUUCUUGGGGGCAUCCGGAAGUCAAUAGAAAUAUUGAGAUUGCUAGUGCAUCGAGGGAUCAUGAUAUGGAGAUUGGUGACAAGGUGACAUGGAUUGCGUCGUCUUCAACAUCUGGGAAGAACCCUAUGCCAUGUACUGCUGAUCAGCAUACAGGCUCUGUGGAUUCAGCUUCUCCUAGGUUAGAA